UACAGAGGUCUCAAGCGUUGUUCGGAUUCAUUGGGCGUAAAGGGUGCGUAGGCGGCGCGGUAAGUCGGAUGUGAAAUCUCGGAGCUUAACUUCGAAACUGCAUUCGAUACUGCCGUGCUUGAGGACUGGAGAGGAGACUGGAAUUCAUGGUGUAGCAGUGAAAUGCGUAGAGAUCAUGAGGAAGACCAGUGGCGAAGGCGGGUCUCUGGACAGUUCCUGACACUGAGACACGAAGGCCAGGGGAGCAAACGGG
Molecule: ribosomal RNA, 253 nt
Filed under: uncultured bacterium
Lineage: Bacteria
Description: partial 16S ribosomal RNA
Rfam family: Bacterial small subunit ribosomal RNA
Source: RNAcentral